GCCCGGUUAGCUCAAUCGGUAGAGCGUGAGACUCUUAAUCUCAAGGUUGCGGGUAAGUUGAGAUUCGUAUAUAUAUCUCUCUCUUACGAUCAUAUCUGGCUAACAUCACCUCCAAGGUUCGACCCCCGCAUCGGGCU
Non-coding RNA from Daldinia caldariorum, 137 nucleotides. The record is from the annotation of a RefSeq genome assembly. Lineage: Eukaryota; Fungi; Ascomycota; Sordariomycetes; Xylariales; Hypoxylaceae.